UACGAAGGGGGCUAGCGUUGCUCGGAAUUACUGGGCGUAAAGCGCGUGUAGGCGGCUCUGCAAGUCAGGUGUGAAAUCCCACGGCUCAACCGUGGAAGUGCACUUGAAACUGCAGGGCUAGAGUCCUGGAGAGGAAGGUGGAAUGCUUGGUGUAGAGGUGAAAUUCGUAGAUAUCAAGCGGAACACCGGUGGCGAAGGCGGCCUUCUGGACAGUGACUGACGCUGAGACGCGAAAGCGUGGGGAGCAAACAGG
Molecule: ribosomal RNA, 253 nt
Filed under: uncultured bacterium
Lineage: Bacteria
Description: partial 16S ribosomal RNA
Rfam family: Bacterial small subunit ribosomal RNA
Source: RNAcentral